GAUGAACGCUGGCGGCGUGCCUAAUACAUGCAAGUCGAACGAAACUUCUUUAUCACCGAGUGCUUGCACUCACCGAUAAAGAGUUGAGUGGCGAACGGGUGAGUAACACGUGGGCAACCUGCCCAAAAGAGGGGGAUAACACUUGGAAACAGGUGCUAAUACCGCAUAACCAUAGUUACCGCAUGGUAACUAUGUAAAAGGUGGCUAUACUACCGCUUUUGGAUGGGCCCGCGGCGCAUUAGCUAGUUGGUAGGGUAAAGGCUUACCAAGGCAAUGAUGCGUAGCCGAAUUGAGAGGUUGAUCGGCCACAUUGGGACUGAGGCACGGCCCAAACUCCUACGGGAGGCAGCAGUAGGGAAUCUUCCACAAUGGGCGAAAGCCUGAUGGAGCAACGCCGCGUGGGUGAAGAAGGUCUUCGGAUCGUAAAACCCUGUUGUUAGAGAAGAAAGUGCGUGAGAGUAACUGUUCACGUUUCGACGGUAUCUAACCAGAAAGCCACGGCUAACUACGUG
RNAcentral lists this ribosomal RNA (512 nucleotides) under uncultured bacterium. RNAcentral describes it as "partial 16S ribosomal RNA". It matches the Rfam family "Bacterial small subunit ribosomal RNA", at positions 28 to 507 of the family's 1533-position model. The record is from RNAcentral.